GAAUCUGGGACCACACCACACCAGUUCUCUCCUUAAUCCACGUCAUUUGCCUUCUAUCCCAGCUAUGUUUCCAGUGUCCUCUGGGUGUUUCCAAGAGCAACAAGAAACGAAUAAAUCUCUGACGGAGAUUCACUCUUGUUGCCCAGGCUGGAGUGCAAUGGCACAAUUUCGGCUCUCCACAAUCUCUGCCUCCCAGAUUCAAGCUAUUCUCCUGCCUCUGUCUCCCGAGGAGCUGGGAUUACAGGCUGGUGUGCAAUGGUGCGAUUUCCGCUCACUGCACUUCCACCUUCCGGGAUUCAAGCCAUUCUCCUGCCUCAGCCUCCGGAGUAGCUGGGACUACAGUCAUGUGCCACCAUGCCCGGCUAAUUUUUGUAUUUUCAGUAGAGGCAGGGAUUCACCACAUUGGUCAGGCUGGUCUUGAACUCCUGACCUCAAGUGAUCUGCCCGCCUCUGCCUCCCAAAGGGCUGGGAAUACAGGCAUGAGCAACUGCACCUGGCCUGGAUUAAUUGAAAAUUUUCUCCUGUAGAUUGUAAUAUAUUAUUAUUGUUAUCUAUUUUAUUGCCCCAAUUUUCUCAAAUUUGGCUAUGGAAGUUUAUUCAAAGUGGAUCUGUUUCCCUUUCACAUUUUCCCCAUUUUGUGAGCAUUUCCUUACUUCCUAACAUGACAAAAUAUUUCAAACUAAUCUUGUAUUUUCCCUGCCCAAUCCUGAUAUCAAAUAUGUCCCCAAGGAGCCUUGGUUCCUUUAAUUGGAGAAUGGUGUUCUCAUUGUUACUGGGAUGAUGUUGUUUCUAGGCCCUUUUGUUAGAGGAGCUAGAAAAUAUAUGUAUGUAUACUCACACAUUUAUACACAUCUGUACUUAUUUAUACAAUUAUCCAUCUGUACGUAUACUAAAAACAAUGAUUUCAUGAAACUUUUGAUCCCAAUCCAACACUAGAUAAAGACUAUAUAGGCCCAUUUAUUUGCAAAUCAGCACAUAAACAUAGAAGAAUUAUUAACAAUAUAAGCUGUAGCUUAUGCUAAAUGUUGGUUGGAACAGACAAUAAGUUAUGGAGAACUUCAGAGGACACUAAGGUUGGAUGGGAUUUUGGAAGUUGUACAGGUCAAUGCCACUCCAUCUAUUGGCGAGUUUCACUAGGUUAAUACAUGAACAACAACAAAAAUAACCUAGAUCAGAAGUUAAAGGUCAUUUUAUUGACUAUCUGCCGUGUCUGUGCCAUUGCAGUGUACUAGGUGCACUUACGAGUCCUCUACUUACAAACUGCUUUUCACAAAAUAUGAAACUCCAGGCAAAGGUUCAGACAUAUGACGUUUGUUUUUAAAAUCUUUCUACAGCCUUGUAUCCUUUUUCCUUUCCUUCCUUUUACCCUUUUUAAAAUGUGUUAUGAGUUUUAUCUUAGACUAACAUCAUCUGUAAUGUUGCUAUACGCCAGUAUUCAGUUGCUGUGUUUGAUGAAUCAUAAAAUGGUGUAAAACUUCAAUUAAUGUACUUUUUAAAUAAAGUAUCUAUGAAUGCAUCCAGCAAAAUGUUUAUGAUUUGAGUAUUCACACAAUAUUACUUUUCUCUGGAUCUAACAAUAAUGUGAAAACGC
RNAcentral lists this long non-coding RNA (1591 nucleotides) under Homo sapiens (human). RNAcentral describes it as "HSALNT0319542". Lineage: Eukaryota; Metazoa; Chordata; Mammalia; Primates; Hominidae. The record is from RNAcentral.